RNAcentral lists this ribosomal RNA (484 nucleotides) under uncultured bacterium. Its description in RNAcentral is "partial 16S ribosomal RNA". It matches the Rfam family "Bacterial small subunit ribosomal RNA", at positions 29 to 507 of the family's 1533-position model. The record is from RNAcentral.
AUUGAACGCUGGCGGCAUGCUUUACACAUGCAAGUCGAACGGCAGCGCGGGCUUCGUCCUGGCGGCGAGUGGCGAACGGGUGAGUAAUGCAUCGGAACGUGCCCAGUAGUGGGGGAUAGCCUGGCGAAAGCCGGAUUAAUACCGCAUACGAUCUGAGGGUGAAAGCGGGGGACCGAAAGGCCUCGCGCUAUUGGAGCGGCCGAUGUCGGAUUAGCUAGUUGGUGGGGUAAAGGCUUACCAAGGCGACGAUCCGUAGCUGGUCUGAGAAGACGACCAGCCACACUGGGACUGAGACACGGCCCAGACUCCUACGGGAGGCAGCAGUGGGGGAAUUUGGACAAUGGGGGCAACCCUGAUCCAGCCAUGCCGCGGGCGGGAAGAAGGCCUUCGGGUUGUAAACCGCUUUUGUUCGGGAAGAAAUCCUCUGGGCUAAUACCCCGGGGGGAUGACGGUACCGUAAGAAUAAGAACCGGCUAACUACGUG